AUUGAACGCUGGCGGCAGGCCUAACACAUGCAAGUCGAGCGGAUGAAGGGAGCUUGCUCCUGGAUUCAGCGGCGGACGGGUGAGUAAUGCCUAGGAAUCUGCCUGGUAGUGGGGGAUAACGUCCGGAAACGGGCGCUAAUACCGCAUACGUCCUGAGGGAGAAAGUGGGGGAUCUUCGGACCUCACGCUAUCAGAUGAGCCUAGGUCGGAUUAGCUAGUUGGUGGGGUAAAGGCCUACCAAGGCGACGAUCCGUAACUGGUCUGAGAGGAUGAUCAGUCACACUGGAACUGAGACACGGUCCAGACUCCUACGGGAGGCAGCAGUGGGGAAUAUUGGACAAUGGGCGAAAGCCUGAUCCAGCCAUGCCGCGUGUGUGAAGAAGGUCUUCGGAUUGUAUAGCACUUUAAGUUGGGAGGAAGGGCAGUAAGUUAAUACCUUGCUGUUUUGACGUGACCAACAGAAUAAGCACCGGCUAACUUCGU
Molecule: ribosomal RNA, 483 nt
Filed under: uncultured bacterium
Lineage: Bacteria
Description: partial 16S ribosomal RNA
Rfam family: Bacterial small subunit ribosomal RNA
Source: RNAcentral